GAUGAACGCUGGCGGCGUGCCUAAUACAUGCAAGUCGAGCGAGCGGACGAGAAGCUUGCUUCUCUGAUGUUAGCGGCGGACGGGUGAGUAACACGUGGAUAACCUACCUAUAAGACUGGGAUAACUUCGGGAAACCGGAGCUAAUACCGGAUAAUAUUUUGAACCGCAUGGUUCAAAAGUGAAAGACGGUCUUGCUGUCACUUAUAGAUGGAUCCGCGCUGCAUUAGCUAGUUGGUAAGGUAACGGCUUACCAAGGCAACGAUGCAUAGCCGACCUGAGAGGGUGAUCGGCCACACUGGAACUGAGACACGGUCCAGACUCCUACGGGAGGCAGCAGUAGGGAAUCUUCCGCAAUGGGCGAAAGCCUGACGGAGCAACGCCGCGUGAGUGAUGAAGGUCUUCGGAUCGUAAAACUCUGUUAUUAGGGAAGAGCAUAUGUGUAAGUAACUGUGCACAUCUUGACGGUACCUAAUCAGAAAGCCACGGCUAACUACGUG
Molecule: ribosomal RNA, 497 nt
Filed under: uncultured bacterium
Lineage: Bacteria
Description: partial 16S ribosomal RNA
Rfam family: Bacterial small subunit ribosomal RNA
Source: RNAcentral